GGUAUGCCAGGUGAGACGAUUCCCCUGCCCCGUAUGCCCUGGUGAAAACCUUCUUGCGGACAUAACCCAGCUCAAACAAUGCACGGCGAAUAUCAGGGACGUUCCAAUGAGUGACCAGUAAGUUUGCCAUAGCUAAGGCCAGGCUAGGCCUGCACCAGCUCCACAAGCGGCUGUGCAGCGAAUUCAUCAAACUUGCGUGGUUAGCGUGUUCCUGUUUGUCCUCUAGGCGGCAGGACAUCGCCAUUCGCUAGGUAGGACUGUUCGUGCACUUGUUUGCUGUAUUAAUAUCGGUUCAACAUUUCUCCCAUUGUAAGGCCCGCCCUAGAGGCGCGUAAAACUGAGUCACGUAUGUAUUCGCUGUAUUCGCGUAAAUGUAUGUUGCGUUUAAUUAUUGCCCUAAAGCACUGAUUGGGUCAGUAACCCAUGGGUAACCCAUGGGUAACCCAUCUUCAACCCCCGGUAGCCCUUUGGUAACCCCCUUGUAAGUUCCUACCCAGCGGGAGGGGUAACACGGCCCCAGGGUAAAACCCUCCGUUGCCCUGGACUAUGGACAUAUGGGCUACUCGUCUUAUAUGCUUCCCACAUCGUAAAUUCCGCUUAAGGAUACAUUUAAAAAUGUAAACGUUAGCAACUGUUGUAUUCCGCUUCUUAAAUCUGGGCCCAAACUGAUACAUUUUUUUGUCUAAAUUUUCCUUUCUCGCUUGGCGCGGUUGCUGGACAAGUUCGCUGGA
Molecule: long non-coding RNA, 731 nt
Filed under: Volvox carteri
Lineage: Eukaryota; Viridiplantae; Chlorophyta; Chlorophyceae; Chlamydomonadales; Volvocaceae
Description: long non-coding RNA (VCAR_LNC001526)
Source: RNAcentral